Molecule: long non-coding RNA, 393 nt
Organism: Sinocyclocheilus grahami
Lineage: Eukaryota; Metazoa; Chordata; Actinopteri; Cypriniformes; Cyprinidae
Exons: 3
Source: RefSeq, a predicted model, not a curated record
UAUGUGGCUGUGGGGAGCUGGAUGUUUCACUCCUGUUAUGACGUACUGUCUUUCAUGCAGAAAACGAGGACAGAUACUCGAUCCAAAGCUUUGGUGGUAUGUAGGACAGGUCAUAGAUGAAGGGGCCAAUUCCUUCAGGCUGAUUCUAAACAGGUUACAGAUAAAGAGAUCUUCAGACAGUAUUUUUUGGAUAUUUCGCAACGUAAGACAAACUGUGACUGCUUUUGAUUGCUAUGCCAGUGGUGUUAAUGAGAAACAGGCUGCUAUAGUUAGAUUUGAUUGGCCCACACCUGGGAGCAAUUACUUGAUGCUCAGUACAGGAAAUACAAACAAUACCGUGGUUGCAGCUUGGAGGUGCGUUCCAGGAGCGGUGCGUCUGCAGCAGUGCAGCGA